Molecule: ribosomal RNA, 158 nt
Filed under: Peniophora pithya
Lineage: Eukaryota; Fungi; Basidiomycota; Agaricomycetes; Russulales; Peniophoraceae
Also listed under: 1 other name
Description: 5.8S ribosomal RNA
Rfam family: 5.8S ribosomal RNA
About the family: 5.8S ribosomal RNA (5.8S rRNA) is a component of the large subunit of the eukaryotic ribosome. It is transcribed by RNA polymerase I as part of the 45S precursor that also contains 18S and 28S rRNA. Functionally, it is thought that 5.8S rRNA may be involved in ribosome translocation.
Source: RNAcentral
CAACUUUCAACAACGGAUCUCUUGCGUCUCGCAUCGAUGAAGAACGCAGCGAAAUGCGAUAAGUAAUGUGAAUUGCAGAAUUCAGUGAAUCAUCGAAUCUUUGAACGCACCUUGCGCCCCUUGGCAUUCCGAGGGGCACGCCUGUUUGAGUGUCGUGA